Molecule: transfer RNA, 66 nt
Filed under: Camelus dromedarius (Arabian camel)
Lineage: Eukaryota; Metazoa; Chordata; Mammalia; Artiodactyla; Camelidae
Also listed under: 1 other name
Rfam family: tRNA
About the family: Transfer RNA (tRNA) molecules are approximately 80 nucleotides in length. Their secondary structure includes four short double-helical elements and three loops (D, anti-codon, and T loops).
Source: Rfam by way of RNAcentral
UGGGGCAUAGCUCAGUGGUAGAGUUUGUGCUUGGCAUGCACGAGGGUUCAAUCCCCAGUGCCUCCA